This is a long non-coding RNA of Microplitis mediator, 1216 nucleotides long. RefSeq lists it as uncharacterized. The transcript has 3 exons. The record is from RefSeq and is a predicted model, not a curated record. NCBI's taxonomy places the organism in Eukaryota, Metazoa, Arthropoda, Insecta, Hymenoptera, Braconidae.
UAUUCGAGAAUCUUCGGGUCUCAAAAACAAUAUUCCUGAAAAAACGACAAACGAGAAUUGACAGCUACCCAAUUCGUGUCACGCUUUCGACUCACUUUUAUUUUAUUUUUCUUUUCCAAUAAUUCUUCCAUAAGAGAUAAAAAAAAAACCUUAAUAAUAUAAAGGAAUAUUUGUCUUUUUGCCAAGGGAUUUUUUAACCGUGACCUCUUUUAGUUCCCGCAUUUAUUACUUUUAUUGAAAAUAAAAAAUCCCGUUGAUAAUUUGAAAAUGAAACUCGUUAUGACGGUAAUUAAUAUCCUCGUGGAUUUAAAUUGGAGUACCGGGAAUAAAUUAAUGCAUCAUUUUUCAGGUUCUGAUUACACUGGGUAUGAAUAAACUAUUGAGUUAUGUAUUUACAUACACGUCCAUGUUCUACACUCGUACCAAUGCACUGCUGGAUCAUUCAUUUCCUCGUGGAUAAUCAGGUGAACGGAAUCGAACCCGUAGAAUGCAUGUUACGGGAAGAGAUGAGAUUAAGAGUGAGACGAAAUAAACCAAUGGCAUUAUAAGGCUGACCCCUCGGAUGGUUCAAUGACAGCUUGGAUGUGAACCUGGGUAUCAGCAAGUGUGUGAGCUGAAGAUUCGAAGAUGCUGAGCACGUAAAUUAAAUAGCGCCUUUGGCACCUGUGCCGGGCUCACAAAAACCGCUGAGAUAAGAAGCCGUACUGAAAAAUCUCAUUACCGCAAGACAAAGUUUUAGAGAGCAUGUAAUAGUCCAGCUCAGUGCAGUAGUACACCAGGCAUCAGGCAGCGAAAGAGAGAAACUGGGAUUGGAAUAGGAGUCAGUAUAGAAAACCAGAGUCAGAAUCAGAAUCAGAGUCAGAGCAUAGAGUCCAGAGUACAGAGAGUACCACCGGCCACAUGGAAACGUGGACAGAAUAAUGGGCGUUGUGAAGUGCGUCGCGGUUGCUACAGAAGUGGGCAUUGUUGGCCCACAUGCUCACUCGAAUAAACCCAGUCGAUCGACUUUAUACCAACACAUUAUAUCCAUACGUCCAUUCCAUGGGAACGUGGACGUCUAGUAGACCGUCCAUAACUUUAAAUAAAAAAAUUGUUACUUGCUAAUUUUUUUUAGUAUCACAGCCGGAUUAAUUUUAAAUAAUUACGUUCUGUUCAUUAUCUUGUAAAAAAAAAAAAUGAUUUCCUGUAAAAUUUAUUGUUAAUAAAAUAAUUUAAU